RNAcentral lists this ribosomal RNA (386 nucleotides) under uncultured bacterium. Its description in RNAcentral is "bacterial SSU rRNA". It matches the Rfam family "Bacterial small subunit ribosomal RNA", at positions 29 to 417 of the family's 1533-position model. The record is from RNAcentral.
AUUAAACGCUGGCGGCAUGCCUUACACAUGCAAGUCGAACGGUAGCGCGGGGCAACCUGGCGACGAGUGGCGAACGGGUGAGUAAAGCAUCGGAACGUGCCCUGGAAUGGGGGAUAACGUAGCGAAAGUUACGCUAAUACCGCAUAUUCUGUGAGCAGGAAAGCAGGGGAUCGCAAGACCUUGCGUUCUGGGAGCGGCCGAUGUCGGAUUAGCUAGUUGGUGGGGUAAAAAGCCUACCAAGGCGACGAUCCGUAGCGGGUCUGAGAGGAUGAUCCGCCACACUGGGACUGAGACACGGCCCAGACUCCUACGGGAGGCAGCAGUGGGGAAUUUUGGACAAUGGGCGGAAGCCUGAUCCAGCCAUGCCGCGUGAGUGAAGAAGGCCU